This 328-nucleotide ribosomal RNA is filed under the name uncultured eukaryote. RNAcentral's name for it is "partial 18S ribosomal RNA". It matches the Rfam family "Eukaryotic small subunit ribosomal RNA", at positions 1470 to 1796 of the family's 1831-position model. The record is from RNAcentral.
CCCUUAGAUGUCCGGGGCUGCACGCGCGCUACACUGAAGGAAUCAGCGUGCUAAAACCAUUGUCGAAAGGCAUUGGUAAACCCAUUAAAAUCCUACGUGAUUGGGAUCGGGAAUUGCAAUUAUUUCCCUUGAACGAGGAAUUCCCAGUAAGUGUGGGUCAUAAGCUCGCGUUGAUUACGUCCCUGCCCUUUGUACACACCGCCCGUCGCUGCCCGGGACUGAGCCGUUUCGAGAAAAGCGGGGACUGCUGCUGUCGGGGCUUUCGGGCCUUGGCUUCGGUGGAAACCGCUUUAAUCGCAGUGGCUUGAACCGGGCAAAAGUCUUAACA